This is a long non-coding RNA of Hypomesus transpacificus, 1087 nucleotides long. RefSeq lists it as uncharacterized. Lineage: Eukaryota; Metazoa; Chordata; Actinopteri; Osmeriformes; Osmeridae. The transcript is spliced from 3 exons. The record is from RefSeq and is a predicted model, not a curated record.
AUGGACUGGUCAAAUGUGGAUGGUAUGAUGGAGAAUUUCUUUCCUAGGCAAUGUUUGAAUCUGGUGAACUAAAUCGUUUGGGUAUUACUUUCUGUUGAAUCUGUGUUUCUGAAUGGAUGAAUUUCAUUGCCUAUAAAUACAACGCAACUUCUCUGGAAAUUCCCUCUUGAGAUGUAGUUGGCAGUAGGACAGAACAUGUGUAGGUGUAAGAAUAUAGUUAAUGACUUGUCUUAAUCACACUAGUUUGAUACCUAGAUGCUAAAGUCUGUUGAACGAGCUAAAUUAGUUUUGGAAGGCGGUGUGCUAAUGGUUGAUGUAAUUUUAGAUGUAAAUGAAAACUUGUGAAGUUGGACGACGUGUAUCCAGUGUCCACGUGCUAGAAGCAGACUUUUUUGAAAUGGCUGUACCUGAAUUGAAUAAAUUCCAAAUUUGAUAGAUUGUUGAUAUAGUUUUACGUAGUUAAAUCGACAUGGUUGCAUUACUUAUAUUUAAGUGACUAAAAGCCAGCUACCAAAUGUUGAUCAUGGUGGCAAGAUGAAGCCGUGCUACAACGAAAAGCCAGGAUGGAAGCUUAGAUGCCCCGUCGAAAUUCAAGUGGUGACUUGAUUCAACUCAGGAUGUCGUCAGUCUUUCAAAAGAAAAUGAGCCAGUGGUCUCAUGAUACUUUACACAAGCCUCUAGAUGUAUUUAAUGCAACAACGAUGGAACUGUAAGUGGUUCUUGUUUCUGUAAAUUAUUCCCCUGAAUAAAUAUAUUUUAAGUUAUCUGCUUGUUUUCAUUUUGUGGGUGGUGUGUUCAAUGUUUGAUGGAAAGCAUUGUGACAUCAUAGUAACCAUUUUACUACCCGAAUGUCAAGAAUGCAGUGCAGUCUACACGAUUGGGUUUUAACUUGCAGCACAUUUCACGGUAGCCUAAUUGUUAAUAUUAAUUACUUAACUGUAUAAUUCCACAACUCAGAGCUCCAUAGAUGGAGACUAAUGACCCUCAGGUAAAGGAUGAUUCACUGCCAACUAGUAAAGGCAUAAAGUAACUCUUAAUUGCUGUAGACUUAUAAGCACCACUAUAAUGGAGAUAUUCUUAGGAAAUG